Molecule: ribosomal RNA, 468 nt
Filed under: uncultured bacterium
Lineage: Bacteria
Description: partial 16S ribosomal RNA
Rfam family: Bacterial small subunit ribosomal RNA
Source: RNAcentral
GACGAACGCUGGCGGCGUGCCUAACACAUGCAAGUCGAGUGAUUUACUUCGGUAAAGAGCGGCGGACGGGUGAGUAACGCGUGGGUAACCUGCCCUGUACACACGGAUAACAUACCGAAAGGUAUGCUAAUACGAGAUAAUAUACUUUUAUCGCAUGGUAGAAGUAUCAAAGCUUUUGCGGUACAGGAUGGACCCGCGUCUGAUUAGCUAGUUGGUAAGGUAACGGCUUACCAAGGCGACGAUCAGUAGCCGACCUGAGAGGGUGAUCGGCCACAUUGGAACUGAGACACGGUCCAAACUCCUACGGGAGGCAGCAGUGGGGAAUAUUGCACAAUGGGCGAAAGCCUGAUGCAGCAACGCCGCGUGAGCGAUGAAGGCCUUCGGGUCGUAAAGCUCUGUCCUCAAGGAAGAUAAUGACGGUACUUGAGGAGGAAGCCCCGGCUAACUACGUGCCAGCCGCCGCCGUAA